GUUUGAUCAUGGCUCAGGACGAACGCUGGCGGCGUGCUUAACACAUGCAAGUCGAGCGGUAAGGCUCCUUCGGGAGUACACGAGCGGCGAACGGGUGAGUAACACGUGAGCAAUCUGCCCUUCACACUGGGAUAACCCUCGGAAACGAGAGCUAAUACCAGAUAUGACCACUUCGGGCAUCCGAUGGUGGUGGAAAGUUCCGGCGGUGAAGGAUGAGCUCGCGGCCUAUCAGCUUGUUGGUGAGGUAAUGGCUCACCAAGGCUUCGACGGGUAGCCGGCCUGAGAGGGUGUCCGGCCACACUGGGAC
Molecule: ribosomal RNA, 307 nt
Filed under: uncultured bacterium
Lineage: Bacteria
Description: bacterial SSU rRNA
Rfam family: Bacterial small subunit ribosomal RNA
Source: RNAcentral